UAGGGAAUCUUCCACAAUGGGCGAAGGCCUGAUGGAGCAACGCCGCGUGUGUGAUGAAGGGUUUCGGCUCGUAAAACNCUGUUGUAAGAGAAGAAUGACAUUGAGAGUAACUGUUCAAUGUGUGACGGUAUCUUACCAGAAAGGAACGGCUAAAUACGUGCCAC
Molecule: ribosomal RNA, 164 nt
Filed under: uncultured bacterium
Lineage: Bacteria
Description: partial 16S rRNA
Rfam family: Bacterial small subunit ribosomal RNA
Source: RNAcentral